AUGAACGCUGGCGGCGUGCCUAAUACAUGCAAGUCGAGCGAACAGAUGAGGAGCUUGCUCCUCUGACGUUAGCGGCGGACGGGUGAGUAACACGUGGAUAACCUACCUAUAAGACUGGGAUAACUUCGGGAAACCGGAGCUAAUACCGGAUAAUAUAUUGAACCGCAUGGUUCAAUAGUGAAAGACGGUUUUGCUGUCACUUAUAGAUGGAUCCGCGCUGCAUUAGCUAGUUGGUAAGGUAACGGCUUACCAAGGCAACGAUGCGUAGCCGACCUGAGAGGGUGAUCGGCCACACUGGAACUGAGACACGGUCCAGACUCCUACGGGAGGCAGCAGUAGGGAAUCUUCCGCAAUGGGCGAAAGCCUGACGGAGCAACGCCGCGUGAGUGAUGAAGGUCUUCGGAUCGUAAAACUCUGUUAUUAGGGAAGAACAAAUGUGUAAGUAACUAUGCACGUCUUGACGGUACCUAAUCAGAAAGCCACGGCUAACUACGUG
RNAcentral lists this ribosomal RNA (496 nucleotides) under uncultured bacterium. RNAcentral's name for it is "partial 16S ribosomal RNA". It matches the Rfam family "Bacterial small subunit ribosomal RNA", at positions 29 to 507 of the family's 1533-position model. The record is from RNAcentral.